UAGGGAAUCUUCCGCAAUGGGCGAAAGCCUGACGGAGCAACGCCGCGUGAGUGAUGAAGGUCUUCGGAUCGUAAAACUCUGUUAUUAGGGAAGAACAAAUGUGUAAGUAACUAUCCACGUCUUGACGGUACCUAAUCAGAAAGCCACGGCUAACUACGUGCCAGCAGCCGCGGUAAUACGUAGGUGGCAAGCGUUAUCCGGAAUUAUUGGGCGUAAAGCGCGCGUAGGCGGUUUUUUAAGUCUGAUGUGAAAGCCCACGGCUCAACCGUGGAGGGUCAUUGGAAACUGGAAAACUUGAGUGCAGAAGAGGAAAGUGGAAUUCCAUGUGUAGCGGUGAAAUGCGCAGAGAUAUGGAGGAACACCAGUGGCGAAGGCGACUUUCUGGUCUGUAACUGACGCUGAUGUGCGAAAGCGUGGGGAUCAAACAGG
RNAcentral lists this ribosomal RNA (429 nucleotides) under Actinomycetes bacterium. Its description in RNAcentral is "Actinobacteria bacterium partial 16S ribosomal RNA". It matches the Rfam family "Bacterial small subunit ribosomal RNA", at positions 355 to 776 of the family's 1533-position model. Lineage: Bacteria; Bacillati; Actinomycetota; Actinomycetes. The record is from RNAcentral.